CAGAGAGUAGUUUAUUAAGAAUAUCAGCUUUGGGUGCUGAUGGUGGGACUUUGAGUCUCCUCUUUGA
Molecule: transfer RNA, 67 nt
Filed under: Ochotona pallasi (Pallas's pika)
Lineage: Eukaryota; Metazoa; Chordata; Mammalia; Lagomorpha; Ochotonidae
Also listed under: 1 other name
Description: tRNA-Pro
Rfam family: tRNA
About the family: Transfer RNA (tRNA) molecules are approximately 80 nucleotides in length. Their secondary structure includes four short double-helical elements and three loops (D, anti-codon, and T loops). Further hydrogen bonds mediate the characteristic L-shaped molecular structure. tRNAs have two regions of fundamental functional importance: the anti-codon, which is responsible for specific mRNA codon recognition, and the 3' end, to which the tRNAs corresponding amino acid is attached (by aminoacyl-tRNA synthetases). tRNAs cope with the degeneracy of the genetic code in two manners: having more than one tRNA (with a specific anti-codon) for a particular amino acid; and 'wobble' base-pairing, i.e. permitting non-standard base-pairing at the 3rd anti-codon position.
Source: RNAcentral